This 95-nucleotide transfer RNA is filed under the name Dichomitus squalens. RNAcentral describes it as "tRNA-Ser". It matches the Rfam family "tRNA". Rfam says of the family: Transfer RNA (tRNA) molecules are approximately 80 nucleotides in length. Lineage: Eukaryota; Fungi; Basidiomycota; Agaricomycetes; Polyporales; Polyporaceae. The record is from RNAcentral.
GUCACUUUGCCGGAGUGGUUAACGGGAUCGCCUGCUAUUCUUUAGCUGCUAGCGGUUGGGCUUUGCCCGCGAGUGUUCGAAUCGCUCAGGUGACG